AGCGGCGGACGGGUGAGUAACGCGUGGGUAACCUGCCUCGUACAGGGGGAUAACAGUUGGAAACGGCUGCUAAUACCGCAUAAGCGCACAGUACCGCAUGGUACCGUGUGAAGAACUCCGGUGGUAUGAGAUGGACCCGCGUCUGAUUAGCUAGUUGGUGGGGUAACGGCCUACCAAGGCGACGAUCAGUAGCCGACCUGAGAGGGUGACCGGCCACAUUGGGACUGAGACACGGCCCAA
RNAcentral lists this ribosomal RNA (240 nucleotides) under uncultured bacterium. Its description in RNAcentral is "partial 16S ribosomal RNA". It matches the Rfam family "Bacterial small subunit ribosomal RNA", at positions 94 to 334 of the family's 1533-position model. The record is from RNAcentral.